UACUCUUAAUUCCGAAAGUUAUUUUGCAAGGAUUAUUUAAAACCCCCCUUAAAUUACUUUUAUUUAAAACCCCCCUUAAAUUACUUUAUAAUAUAAGUUUAAACACCUUAUAUCAAUUAGAAUAAUUGUAUAAUUUAUUAUGGAGUGAACUCGUCCUAUAUCUAUUAGGAAGCCUCUUAAUAGAUUUGGCUCAGAAUCAUAAUUUUCUAUUUUAAAAACUUAGGUCAAAAUUGUAGCUCUGUGUUAUAAAUAGGUAUAAUAGAUUUUUUAUGAUGACAAAGAAGAAAAUAAAGCAGAAUUAUCAUGAGCAUCUUCAAGAAAGAAAAAUAUUGAAGUAAAUUAAAAAGCAAGGAGGUUAUGAUGUUUCACACAAGAGAAUCAAUUGUUAAGAACAAACUCAAACACUACUAUAAAAAAAUACAUUUCACCUCAGGUGUGAAAUAUAUUUAACCUCAGAUAAAGAAGCGGGGUAACAAAGUGCUUCAUGAAAAGCUGCCACUUUACUACUCGAAUUUUCAAAAACUGAGGUGUAAAGUUAUUUGCACAUGGAUUCGAACCCCGAUAUCCGCAUAGAUUUUUUUUUGUAAAAAAAAAAACUCGUUACAUUGUAUACACAUAAUAUUAAUAAAUUAAUUUGUCAGUGAAGCUAAAAUGCUGGAUGUUCGAAUCAUUGAAUUUUGGAGAAGAUCAAAUGUUGGGUGCCAGGAUAUUUUCAAUUGUUUUUGCUUGCAUUUGUUUUUGAUAUAAAACAAAAAAAAGUUAGAUAAUUAAAUGAUUUUCUGCUCAAAUAAAUACUUAUGAACACAAACCUUAAACUCAAAUAAUUUUCUGUUCUUGCAAUCCAUCAUAGAGAAUUAUUCUCUCGAUUAUAACAAAAGCCAAAGUAAAAAAAAUUUACCCCUCGAUUUCAACUGAAAACCAAGGUGAAUAAGUUUUUUUAAGCAUACUUCUACACAUUCUUUUGAGGAUUAUUCUACAUAUUAAAUCCUAUAAUUUCUCUUUUGAGAUUUAUUUCAUGCACAUCUUUUAAAAAAAUAAAAGUUCUACUAACCACCAAUACUUUUAUAUUUAUAUGAUCAUUUUGAUGAGUUAUAAAGACAUACACAACACUUAAAUAUACGAAAGAGUAAUUCUAAUAAAAAAAAAGAGGUUUUCACAUUAUAAAUUGAACUUAUAAUUUUCUAUUUUUGCAUGCAAAUGUGGAGAAAUAUGGCUGGAAUUUUAAAGUUUGUUUAUGUUAUAUUUAUUUUUCUUUUCAUAUGUAUCGGUAUGGCUGAAGCUUUUGAUAAUGUUUGCUUAGUUGAUGAAGAUUGUCCUAUAUCUAUUUGUAUGCGAUCUAAAAUUCGAAAGUGCAUACACACGUUUUGCUAUUGUGUGUCAAGGCCCAAGGGGUAGGCCAGCUAGGCAAUUGCCUAGGGUUUCAAAUAUUUUUACAAAUUAACAAUGUAGUGUUAAUGUUCACAUGUUCUCUCUAUGUGAAUUUUAUUCAGUAUUUUAUUGUAAUUUUAAUUCUCUAAUAAACCUGCUCCAUUUAGUUAGCA
Molecule: long non-coding RNA, 1541 nt
Organism: Vicia villosa (hairy vetch)
Lineage: Eukaryota; Viridiplantae; Streptophyta; Magnoliopsida; Fabales; Fabaceae
Exons: 2
Source: RefSeq, a predicted model, not a curated record